AGAGUUUGAUCAUGGCUCAGGAUGAACGCUAGCGGCAGGCCUAACACAUGCAAGUCGAGGGGUAGGGUUAGCUUGCUAACCUGAGACCGGCGCACGGGUGCGUAACGCGUAUGCAAUCUACCUUGUACAGAGGGAUAGCCCAGAGAAAUUUGGAUUAAUACCUCAUAGUAUUAUUGAAUGGCAUCAUUUGAUUAUUAAAGUUCCAACGGUACAAGAUGAGCAUGCGUCCCAUUAGUUAGUUGGUAAGGUAACGGCUUACCAAGAUGAUGAUGGGUAGGGGUCCUGAGAGGGAGAUCCCCCACACUGGUACUGAGACACGGACCAGACUCCUACGGGAGGCAGCAGUGAGGAAUAUUGGACAAUGGGCGCAAGCCUGAUCCAGCCAUGCCGCGUGCAGGAUGAAGCAUCUAUGGUGUGUAAACUGCUUUUAUACAGGAAGAAACCCUACCACGUGUGGUAGAUUGACGGUACUGUAGGAAUAAGGAUCGGCUAACUCCGUGCCAGCAGCCGCGGUAAUACGGAGGAUCCAAGCGUUAUCCGGAUUUAUUGGGUUUAAAGGGUGCGUAGGCGGUUUAUUAAGUCAGCGGUGAAAGUUUGAGGCUCAACCUUAAAAUUGCCGUUGAAACUGGUUAACUUGAGUGUAGAUGAAGUAGGCGGAAUUAGUGGUGUAGCGGUGAAAUGCAUAGAUAUCACUAGGAACUCCGAUUGCGAAGGCAGCUUACUAAGGUACAACUGACGCUGAUGCACGAAAGCGUGGGUAUCAAACAGGAUUAGAUACCCUGGUAGUCCACGCAGUAAACGAUGAUUACUAGUUGUUUGCGAUAUGACCGUAAGUAACUAAGCGAAAGCGAUAAGUAAUCCACCUGGGGAGUACGCCGGCAACGGUGAAACUCAAAGGAAUUGACGGGGGCCC
Molecule: ribosomal RNA, 913 nt
Filed under: uncultured bacterium
Lineage: Bacteria
Description: bacterial SSU rRNA
Rfam family: Bacterial small subunit ribosomal RNA
Source: RNAcentral